This 483-nucleotide unclassified non-coding RNA is filed under the name Zanthoxylum ovalifolium. Its description in RNAcentral is "partial external transcribed spacer". Lineage: Eukaryota; Viridiplantae; Streptophyta; Magnoliopsida; Sapindales; Rutaceae. The record is from RNAcentral.
AAAAAAGGACGGCAGCUCGUGCUCGUGCAUCGAACUGUCGGCGUCCCAUCCGCUUCAGUCUUGCCCCAAGCGCAGCUCCUGGCUUGCGGGUGCUUGAGGUAUCCUGUGUUGCUUACCCACUUAGAGGAAUCCGAUGGCUUUGGUGCCCCCAUCCUCCUUAUGCCCUUCGGGGUGUGGGGUGGACGCGAGGCGGGCUCCGUGUUCCCCGCGUGUCGAGUGCAUUGACACUCGUCCGCUGUGGCCCAUGGGGUCUCGGCCCGUGCUCUCGGAUGCGGAAUGUUGUGUGGGCGUGGGGUCUCGGCCUCUGUUCGUCCAAGCUACACGCAUUGUCCCUUGACAUGAAUGACCGUCGCGCUCGUCUUGAUCGGUCGACCGAGCCCCCAUCACGGGGCUCCGGGAGGGCGGCUCAUGCGAGUGUCGGCGUCGGAGAGGAAUGCUACCUGGUUGAUCCUGCCAGUAGUCUAGGCCUUUGUCUAAAACGAC